CGUCGGGUCCGGGAGUCGAACCCGCGACGGCCUCCAAACGGUUCCUGACUUCCUGUGUUCAGGUUGAGAAAAUAAAAGAUAAUCUGAAGGAUUACCUGUAAAUCUGGAGCAAGAAGCAAUCAGUCACAGAGAGUUAAGGAUCCAGACCUGAACAAUGGAGCACAGUCAGCCUGAUCAGUCUGAACGUCUUUGUUUAUUCAACAAACAGUAUGAAACACUGGUUGAGGUACAAAGAACAUUGCAACAUAUUCAGGAAGAAAAGAAACAAAGCAUGGAGCUGAUACUAAAGACUAACAGCUGCUGCGGUCAAACCAACCAAACCCUCUGAGCAACUUGUUCCCCUCCUUGCCUGUGGGGGCGCUGCAUCAAGAACCAAAACCUCUGAAGCAGACAGACAUUUCUUCUUCCUCUUUCCUCGCUGACCCGUCGGCCAUGUUUCCAGAACAAGGCAGAAGACGCAUCAAAAGUCUGACUGAAUCAUGAACCAACAGCAACAAGAGCCCGGCGGGUUUUUCCUGCUCUGAAAGUUACCAAAUCAGAGUAUUCAAUGAAAGAAAGGAUUUACAUUGUAGCGCAAGUGUUGCAUUAAAUACAGCGUGUUACUGUGGUGGAAAUGAUGCUUAUUCAGUAGUUUGGCUCCUGCUGUCAGCUCUUGGACUUGCUUUGUUUUCACACCGUUUUUCCUCUUAACUCAAACCAUUCCAGUCAGGCUGGCAGCUACCAAGGAGCAGAGCUCGUUAAUUGUGCUCUAUAUUGGAGGAAACUCACGCUACACACACAUAGAGAGAGAGCAAUAGUCCUGAAAUGUUAAGUGUUAGGGAGAAAACAGGAAGCAGGUCUUAAAGCUGGGCUCUCCUGAGCAUCCUAAAAGGCUUUUAUGGACUAUUAUUGUGUGUUUGCCUGUGUGGCUGUGAGUGUUUGUGCGCACAGAGUUCUAUAAAAUGUUCCUGCGCAUCGCAUGUUGGCAUUGCUGUUUGCACAAAACAGCAGUUAGCUGUAAAAUACGAACCACGGGGGUUGCUAUUGUGUGAGAGGUUUCUGAAGAUGAGGAAGAUGACGAAGGUUACCUGCAGUCACUCAGAACAAAUCAUUUUCUUAAUGACACCACAAGCAAACCAGUUAGCUUAACACACAUUAGCAUCCUCAAACCUUUUUCUGUCCCUCCACAUACUGCCACCUACUGGGCAGAUAGUGCAGGUCUUUCUAUUGACUCUUUAUAACUACUUCAUUGGACCAGAAAUGAGGGAUGGAAGUAUUGAACGAAGAGAUCAUGUUUCCAAGUCUAUUUUUUUCUGCCAG
Molecule: long non-coding RNA, 1299 nt
Organism: Gambusia affinis (western mosquitofish)
Lineage: Eukaryota; Metazoa; Chordata; Actinopteri; Cyprinodontiformes; Poeciliidae
Exons: 4
Source: RefSeq, a predicted model, not a curated record